RNAcentral lists this ribosomal RNA (1733 nucleotides) under Hibiscus syriacus. Its description in RNAcentral is "SSU rRNA". It matches the Rfam family "Eukaryotic small subunit ribosomal RNA". Lineage: Eukaryota; Viridiplantae; Streptophyta; Magnoliopsida; Malvales; Malvaceae. The record is from RNAcentral.
CCUGGUUGAUCCUUCCAGUAGUCAUGCUUAUCUCAAAGAUUAAGCCAUGGAUGUGUAAGUAUGAACUAAUUUAGGUUGUGAAACUGCGAAUGGCUCAUUAAAUCAGUUAUAGUUUAUUUGAUGGAAUUUUUUACUCAGAUAACUGUAGUAAUUCUAGAGCUAAUAUGUGAAACAAUCCCCGACAUCUGGAACAGAUGCAUUUAUUAUAUAGAAGGUCGACGCGGGCUUUGCCCAUUGCUCUGAUGAUUCAUGAUAACUCGACGGAGUGCAUGACCUUUGUGUCGGUGAUACAUCAUUCAAAGUUCUUCCCUAUAAACUUUUGAUGGUAGGAUAGUGGCCUACUAUGGUGGUGAUGGUUGACGAAGAAUUAGGGUUCCAUUAUAGAGAGGCAGCCUAAGAAAUGACUACCACAUCCAAGGAAAGAAGUAGGCACGCAAAUUACUCAAUCCUAACACGGGGAGGUAGUGACAAUAAAUAACAAUACUGGUCUCUACGAGUCUGGUAAUUAAAAUGAGUAAAAUUUAAACCCCUUAAUGUGGAUCCAUUGAAAGGCAAGUCUGGUGCCAGUAGCCAUGGUAAUUCUAGCUCCAAUAGCAAAUAUUUAAGUUGUUGCAGUUAAAAAGCUCAUAGUUGGACCUAGUGGUGGGUCGGACAGUCUGCUUCACGGGGAGCAUCACUCUGCUCGUCCUUACUGCCGGCGAUGCGCUCCUACCCUUAAUUGGACGGGUGACUCCUUCGGUGUUGUUACUUUGAAGAAAUUAGAGUGCUCAAAGUAGGCCUACGCUUGUAUACAAUAGCAAGGGAUAUCAUGAUAGGAUUUUGAUCCUACUGUGUUGGUCUUCAGGGACAGUCACGGGCAUUCGUACUUCAUAGUCAGAGGAUUUGCGAAAGCAUUUGCUAAGGAUGUUUUCAUUAAUCAAGAACGAAAGUUAGGGCACGAUGACGAUCAGAUAUCGUCCUAGUCUCAACUAUAAAUGGUGCCAACCAGGGAUCGGUGGAUGUUGCUUUUAGGACUAUGUCAGUACCUUAUGAAAAAAACAAAGUCUUUGGGUUCCGGGGGGAGUAUGGUCGUAAAGAUGAAACUUAAAAUAAUUAACGUAAGGGCACUACCAGGAGUGAAGCCUGUGGCUUAAUUUGACUCAAGAGAGGGAAGCUUACUAGGUCCAUACAUAGCAAGGAUUGAUAUACUGAGAGUUAUUUCUUGAUUCUAUUGGUAGUAGUCCAUGGUCGUUCUUAAUUAGUGGAGCGAUUUGUCUAGUUAAUUCCGUUAAGGAACGAGACCUCAGCCUGCUAACUAGCUAUACGCAGGUGAUUCUCCAUGGCUAGCUUCUUAGAGGGACUAUAGCCGCUUAGGCCAAGGAAGUUUAGGCAAUAACAGGUCUGUGAUGCCCUUAGAUGUUCUGGGCCGCACGCGCAAUACACUGAUGUAUUGAACGAAUCUAUUUCCUUGGCCGACAGGCCUGGGAAAUAUUUGAAAUUUCAUUAUGACGUGGAUAGAUCAUUGCAAUAAUGAGGAAUUCCUAGUAAGUGCGACUCAUCAGCUCGCGUUGACUACGUGUUACCCUUUGUACACAUCGCCCGUCGGUCCUACCAAUUGAAUGAUCCGGUGAAGUGUUCAGAUCGCAGCGAUGUAUACGAUUCGCUACCCGUGACUUCGUGAGAAGUACACUAAUCCCUAUAAUUUAGAGGAAAGAGAAGUUACAAAAAGGUUUUUAUAGGUGAACCUGUGUAAG